Molecule: ribosomal RNA, 513 nt
Filed under: uncultured bacterium
Lineage: Bacteria
Description: partial 16S ribosomal RNA
Rfam family: Bacterial small subunit ribosomal RNA
Source: RNAcentral
GACGAACGCUGGCGGCGUGCCUAAUACAUGCAAGUAGAACGCUGACUACUUUAGCUUGCUAGAGUAGAAGGAGUUGCGAACGGGUGAGUAACGCGUAGGUAACCUGCCUACUAGCGGGGGAUAACUAUUGGAAACGAUAGCUAAUACCGCAUAACAGUGUUUAACACAUGUUAGAUGCUUGAAAGAUGCAAUUGCAUCACUAGUAGAUGGACCUGCGUUGUAUUAGCUAGUUGGUGGGGUAACGGCCCACCAAGGCGACGAUACAUAGCCGACCUGAGAGGGUGAUCGGCCAAACUGGGACGGAGACACCGCCCAGACUCCUACGGGAGGCAGCAGUAGGGAAUCUUCGGCAAUGGGGGCAACCCUGACCGAGCAACGCCGCGUGAGUGAAGAAGGUUUUCGGAUCGUAAAGCUCUGUUGUAAGAGAAGAACGUGUGUGAGAGUGGAAAGUUCACACAGUGACGGUAACUUACCAGAAAGGGACGGCUAACUACGUGCCAGCAGCCGCCGUAA